GGUGAGGUGGCGGAGUGGUCGAACGUGGCGGUCUUGAAAACCGUUGUANCGAAAGCUACCGUGGGUUCGAAUCCCACCCUCACCG
This 85-nucleotide transfer RNA is filed under the name bacterium TMED15. RNAcentral describes it as "tRNA-Ser". It matches the Rfam family "tRNA". From Rfam's summary of the family: Transfer RNA (tRNA) molecules are approximately 80 nucleotides in length. The record is from RNAcentral. RNAcentral also lists the same sequence under 1 other name.